Molecule: long non-coding RNA, 644 nt
Organism: Sorghum bicolor (sorghum)
Lineage: Eukaryota; Viridiplantae; Streptophyta; Magnoliopsida; Poales; Poaceae
Exons: 2
Source: RefSeq, a predicted model, not a curated record
UUGUCCAGCAUCGGUAAAAAAAAAACAAAUCGACUGCACUUCACUCGUCCUCAUCCUCACGUGCAGGCCUUCUCUCUCUGUAUCCACACCUUUCCUCUGCUGCCGCAUCGCAUCCUCCGCCGCCUCUUGCACCGGCCGUAUCCAGAGCUCCCAACCUUUCCCAGAUCGAGCUCCAUCUCUCCAGAUCUGAUUUCUCCAUCCCUCUUCCGGCUCCCGGCCGUGUUCCGGGAUAUAUGGUGGCGGCAGGUGCCUGAGGUAUCGCCGGUGGAGCCACCGCCAAUGGAGCUGCUGGUAAGCACCGGACCUGGGGACGCAGCAACCAAGCCGUGAGGAGCCCAACAACGUUGCAGGACUGGAGCGCUCCAUCGUUGAUUGUGGCAGCUGAUGUCGGGGCCGCGUUGACGCAACCCUGCUACCCCGAACAAAAAGGAAGCGGCGCGCGGCCAAAGCGCUGCACCAUCAUGUCGUAUUGUCGUGGACUCGGAGAGAGGAGCGGGCAGAAAAAAAAAAGACAGACUGAAAUUUUGCCUCUUUAUUAGUAGGUAUAGAUUAUUCUUCACAAAUAAAUAUGUUUGUGCGCUGUAACACAAGAAAAAAGCUAUAACAUAUUAAUGAGAAAUGAGAACAAAAGUCUUGAUGAGAUC